AGUGAACGCUGGCGGUAGGCCUAACACAUGCAAGUCGAACGGCAGCACAGUAAGAGCUUGCUCUUACGGGUGGCGAGUGGCGGACGGGUGAGGAAUACAUCGGAAUCUACUUUUUCGUGGGGGAUAACGUAGGGAAACUUACGCUAAUACCGCAUACGACCUACGGGUGAAAGCAGGGGAUCUUCGGACCUUGCGCGAUUGAAUGAGCCGAUGUCGGAUUAGCUAGUUGGCGGGGUAAAGGCCCACCAAGGCGACGAUCCGUAGCUGGUCUGAGAGGAUGAUCGGCCACACUGGAACUGAGACACGGUCCAGACUCCUACGGGAGGCAGCAGUGGGGAAUAUUGGACAAUGGGCGCAAGCCUGAUCCAGCCAUACCGCGUGGGUGAAGAAGGCCUUCGGGUUGUAAAGCCCUUUUGUUGGGAAAGAAAAGCAGCAGGUUAAUACCCCGCUGUUCUGACGGUACCCAAAGAAUAAGCACCGGCUAACUUCGU
Molecule: ribosomal RNA, 491 nt
Filed under: uncultured bacterium
Lineage: Bacteria
Description: partial 16S ribosomal RNA
Rfam family: Bacterial small subunit ribosomal RNA
Source: RNAcentral